UCGAGCGCACUGGCCCAACUGAUAUGACGUGCUUGCACUGAAUUGACGUUGGAUUACCAGUGAGCGGCGGACGGGUGAGUAACACGUGGGCAACCUGCCCUGAAGCGGGGGAUAACAUCUGGAAACAGGUGCUAAUACCGCAUAACAACGAAAACCACAUGGUUUUCGUUUCAAAGAUGGUUUCGGCUAUCACUUCAGGAUGGGCCCGCGGUGCAUUAGCUAGUUGGUAAGGUAACGGCUUACCAAGGCGAUGAUGCAUAGCCGAGUUGAGAGACUGAUCGGCCACAAUGGAACUGAGACACGGUCCAUACUCCUACGGGAGGCAGCAGUAGGGAAUCUUCCACAAUGGGCGCAAGCCUGAUGGAGCAACACCGCGUGAGUGAAGAAGGGUUUCGGCUCGUAAAGCUCUGUUGUUGGAGAAGAACGUGCGUGAGAGUAACUGUUCACGCAGUGACGGUAUCCAACCAGAAAGUCACGGCUAACUACGUGCCAGCAGCCGCGGUAAUACGUAGGUGGCAAGCGUUAUCCGGAUUUAUUGGGCGUAAAGCGAGCGCAGGCGGUUGCUUAGGUCUGAUGUGAAAGCCUUCGGCUUAACCGAAGAAGUGCAUCGGAAACCGGGCGACUUGAGUGCAGAAGAGGACAGUGGAACUCCAGGUGUAGCGGUGGAAUGCGUAGAUAUAUGGAAGAACACCAGCGGCGAAGGCGGCUGUCUGGUCUGCAACUGACGCUGAGGCUCGAAAGCAUGGGUAGCGAACAGGAUU
This 761-nucleotide ribosomal RNA is filed under the name uncultured Lactobacillus sp. RNAcentral's name for it is "bacterial SSU rRNA". It matches the Rfam family "Bacterial small subunit ribosomal RNA", at positions 62 to 779 of the family's 1533-position model. Lineage: Bacteria; Bacillati; Bacillota; Bacilli; Lactobacillales; Lactobacillaceae. The record is from RNAcentral.